UACCUGUUCACUACCCUUUCCGCAGCCC
This 28-nucleotide non-coding RNA is filed under the name Homo sapiens (human). The record is from RNAcentral. Lineage: Eukaryota; Metazoa; Chordata; Mammalia; Primates; Hominidae.